RNAcentral lists this ribosomal RNA (492 nucleotides) under uncultured bacterium. Its description in RNAcentral is "partial 16S ribosomal RNA". It matches the Rfam family "Bacterial small subunit ribosomal RNA", at positions 29 to 507 of the family's 1533-position model. The record is from RNAcentral.
AGUGAACGCUGGCGGUAGGCCUAACACAUGCAAGUCGAACGGCAGCACAGUAAGAGCUUGCUCUUACGGGUGGCGAGUGGCGGACGGGUGAGGAAUACAUCGGAAUCUACUUUUUCGUGGGGGAUAACGUAGGGAAACUUACGCUAAUACAGCAUACGACCUACGGGUGAAAGCAGGAGAUCUUCGGACCUUGCGCGAUUGAAUGAGCCGAUGUCGGAUUAGCUAGUUGGCGGGGUAAAGGCCCAACAAGGCGACGAUCCGUAGCUGGUCUGAGAGGAUGGUCAGCCACACUGGAACUGAGACACGGUCCAGACUCCUACGGGAGGCAGCAGUGGGGAAUAUUGGACAAUGGGCGCAAGCCUGAUCCAGCCAUACCGCGUGGGUGAAGAAGGCCUUCGGGUUGUAAAGCCCUUUUGUUGGGAAAGAAAAGCAGCAGGUUAAUACCCCGCUGUUCUGACGGUACCCAAAGAAUAAGCACCGGCUAACUUCGUG